AGGUCUGAUUGCGUUAUAUAUGGAUACAGUAAGGUGAAGGAUGAAUACUGGUAUUAUAUAUGGAUACAGUAAGGUGAAGGAUGAAGCAGGUCUGAUUGCGUUAUAUAUGGAUACAGUAAGGUGAAGGAUGAAGCAGGUCUAAUUGCGUUAUAUAUGGAUACAGUAAGGUGAAGGAUGAAGCAGGUCUAAUUGCGUUAUAUAUGGAUACAGUAAGGUGAAGGAUGAAGCAGGUCUAAUUGCGUUAUAUAUGGAUACAGUAAGGUGAAGGAUGAAGCAGGUCUAAUUGCGUUAUAUAUGGAUACAGUAAGGUGAAGGAUGAAGCAGGUCUAAUUUGCGUUAUAUAUGGAUACAGUAAGGUAGGUCUAAUUGCGUUAUAUAUGGAUACAGUAAGGUGAGGGCCGUUGUGCCUCUCCUCCGUUUCCGUUCCUCUAAGAGGGUAAUGAUUCAUGAGUCCAGCUCACUCCUCCCUCGUCCCUAAGGCUGCUGGGAGGAAUAGCUGACAUUAUCUCGUCCAAAUGGGUUUGAAAACGCUGCCGGCCAGGUCGAACAAGGCGUGUGUGUGUGUGUGUGUGUGUCAACCAAGGCGAGGGACUGAUUUAUAGCGCAAGAUGCUGAGAACAGUUAUCCGCAGCUUCCUUCCCUGGCAGCAAUGGUGUAGUGUGUUUUUUUUCCUCUCCUCCUUCUCUGUGCGGCUAAGGUUCAAGUUUAUUCCAGCCAUGUAUUUGUGAAGGUAAAGAAGGAGAAAAACACUACUCGUUGGAAUUUAUGACAGCAAAGUUGUUGUGGAUUUGCCGCCCAGCCGCCGGCGUGGAAAGUAGUGUUUUCAAGUGUCAGGGACAAGGAUAAGCCAUUUUUGGUGACCUUUAUCUUUCUCUGUCAAGAGGUAUACUGUGGGGCCUUGCACUUGAGGUUAGUAGAAAUAAUGUCUCUGGGAAAAUAGGAAAUAACUCUUUGGGUUUUAAAUCUUGGGAUCGGAACACCUCAUUGGUUCAAAUGGUGGGAAAUGCUCUCGACUUCAGAUCAAAUGUCUACCAAGUAUUAUACCUAGAAAAAAAGAAAAAGGUUUCUCGGCAAAAAAAAAACGAUAAAAAAGAAAAAAAAAUUAGUGGGAAGGAAAAUAGCCUUUUGUUUUUUAGUAUGGCGGUUGGUUGGGAUGUUUGUGUAAUUGCUUGCAGCUGCCAGAGGAAAAGAAGAGAACACGGAACACCGAGAAGCAUGAAUUAGUGAAGGCACUCCUAUUGGCUGUCCUCCUAGCCCUCACAUAUCACCAGAAUCAUUCUUCUAACGAGGAAUUCAGAUUGCUAUCGCUGUGCUCGAAUGGAUGAUUGGGAUGAUGACGUAUUGGGUCACUCAGUCAAAAGGAGACCUAUUACAGACUGGAUGCAUUUUUUGACUGAGUGGUUUACAGCUACAUUGUCCUGAACCCCAAGGCAACAACAAUGGUUACACUUCUAAACUAUUGACCAGAACACCGUUUUUGAUUUCUGUUGGCUCUCGUUGUCCUUCUAGCCUUCACUAAAUCAUUAUUCUUAGAAGAAGGAAUUCAUAUUGAUCUUGGACGGUCCAUGUAUCUGUCAGAAACCUAUUGUUGACAAAGUGCUUAACAACCACAACCGCCAUAACAACCUCCACCACCUUGAUCAACCUUAAACAACCGCCUCGAUCAACCUUAAACAACCACCUUGAUCAACCUUAAACAACCACCUUGAUCAACCUUAAACAACCACCUAGAUCAACCUUAAACAACCACCUUAAUCAACCUUAAACAACCGCCUUGAUCAACCACAAACAACCACCUUGACCAACCUUAAACAACCGCCUUAAACAACCACCUUGAUCAACCUUAAACAACCGCCUUAAUCAACCGCAACUACCUUGAUCAACAAAACCACCUAGAUCAACCACAACCACCUUGAUCAACCUUAAAAAGCCACCUUGACCAACCUUAAACAACCACCUUAAACAACCACCUUGAUCAACCUUAAACAACCGCCUUAAUCAACCGCAACUACCUUGAUCAACAAAACCACCUAGAUCAACCACAACCACCUUGAUCAACCACAACCACCUUGAUCAACCUUGAUCAACCACCUUGAUCAACCUUGAUCAACCACCUUAAUCAACCUUAAACAACCACCUUAAUCAACCUUAAACAACCACCUUAAUCAACCUUAAACAACCACCUUAAUCAACCUUAAACAUCCACCUUAAUCAACCUUAAACAACCACCUUAAUCAACCUUAAACAACCACCUUGAUCAACCUUAAACAACCACCUUGAUCAACCUUAAACAACCACCUAGAUCAACCUUAAACAACCACCUAGAUCAACCUUAAACAACCACCUAGAUCAACCUUAAACAACCACCUAGAUCAACCUUAAACAACCACCUAGAUCAACCUUAAACAACCACCUUGACCAACCUUAAACAAACACCUUGAUCAACCUUAAACAAACACCUUGAUCAACCACCUUAAUCAACCUUAAACAACCACAUUGAUCAACCACAACCACCUUAAUCAACCACAACCACCUUAAUCAACCACAACCACCUUAAUCAACCACAACCACCUUAAUCAACCUUAAACAACCACCUUAAUCAACCACCUUAAUCAACCUUAAACAACCACCUUAAUCAGCCUUAAACAACCACCUUAAUCAACCUUAAACGACCACCUUGAUCAACCUUAAACGACCACCUUAAACAACCAUAAUCUACCAAAGUGUUGCUCCAACAGUGUUUGUUUUGUUUUUGUUGUUAUGAAUGCCAUCCCAUUGACAUCUGAGUCAUUUAGCAGGCACUCUUAUCCAGAGCGACUCAGUGAGUCAU
This is a long non-coding RNA of Oncorhynchus keta (chum salmon), 2830 nucleotides long. RefSeq lists it as uncharacterized. The record is from RefSeq and is a predicted model, not a curated record. The transcript has 3 exons. NCBI's taxonomy places the organism in Eukaryota, Metazoa, Chordata, Actinopteri, Salmoniformes, Salmonidae.